GGCCCGGGUUGCACCCCGAGGGCUCCAGGGUUAGAGGCGACCAGGGCAGGGCCCUCCCAGGACAGGAGCCCAGCCUGGAGUCUGGCCGGGAGCCCAGCGGCCUGCUGUGACCGUGGCCCAGCCCUGCCCGCUGGUGUGCAGCAGGAGGUCCCCCAGAGCACCUCCCACUGGUGUGUGCGGGCACCUGAGGCCCCGGAGCAGCCUUGCCCUUCAGGUGCUGCUGUCUGAGGCAAGACGGCCCCCACCUGUGUCACGGCCUGGCCGCCUGGCCCUGCCCGUGGUCCUUCCCUGCCUGACAGCCUCGUCAUCGAGUGGCCAGCUUCACAGGUGAGAAGACCAAGGCCCCACUUGUUCACCUGAUGCAGGAGCUGGUCAGGGGCCCCGGGGCUGGGGUGCCUCUGGGUGGAGUCCACUCAGCCCCUGAGAGGUCCCCGGGAUCCCUGGAGCUCUCCGCGGCCCCUCCCUCCCCCCUCCUCAGCAGUGUGUUGGGAGACGCCGCCUGGCCAGCGGGAGUGUGGCGCUGACCUUGGGCAGGGCUGGUGGGGUAGAGACGCGGCCCCUGCCUGCCCCCAGGCACUCCCCUGACCUCCCCAGGUGGCCGCAGCCUCUCCGAGCCUCAGCUUCCCCACCUGCAACAUGGAGCGGCUAUGCAGCCUCUGAGCUGGGUGAGGUCAAAGUUGGCCCUGGAACCCGGGUCCCUUGGCUUCUUGCCCCAGGGCUGGAGUGGGAGCAGGACCCUGGCUGGCAUCAGCCCAGGGUGCCAGUGCUGGUGGGCUCACUCGUGUUCGCCAUCCCUCCUGGGACUCUUCAGACACCUGCUUAAACUAGGGGUCUCAACCCAUUCUGCAUCCAAGGAAAUGGGUCAGAGAGGGUGGUGGCUGCCUGGGAGUCACACAGCACAGAGUCAGCCGGGGGGUGGGGGUGGUCUCCAUGAGCCCUAUCCCUGCUCCCAGGCUGGGGACCUGUGUCCCCCAAACCGGGGGCAGGGUGCUGCUCCUGAGAAGCAACCACAGUGGGGGUUCCCUGUGAGCAGCCACUGCUGGGGACAGGCCCAUCCUAGGUUUGCAGCUGUCCCACUCUGUGCCUAUGGGGAGUUGAUCUCAGAGUCUCCAUCUCUGCAAAAUGGGCCUUUCUCGGGGACCCAGGAUGGGCUCUAAGGGUGCCUGGUCCUCGUGCCAGGAGCUCCUGAGUCUCAGGUGCCCCCUAUCAGUGGGUCAGCAUCGUUCACCUCGCGGUUGGAGAGGACGGCGGAGGCCCCACAGCAGGCAUGGCCAGGCAGAGCAGGGGGUGGGGUCUGUGUGGUUCAGUGCAACUCAGUGGAGGGGCACAGGGGCCACCUUUCUCCCCCCGACUGCUGACCACCCCCUCAGCAUCUCUGCACCUUCCCAGUCUCCUGGGCUUGCUUCUCGCCGGUUCCUCCUGGCAUCUGACCUCCAGCCCUCUGUCCUGGGUGCUGAGACCCACUCCAGCCCCGGUCUCCUUGGUACUUUCACACGAAGUCUGUGCCCAGAGCCAGACACUGGGAGCGGCGGGGAGGGGCCAGGCCAGGUGGCCUCGCUCCCCCUGCGAAGCUCCUCCUCUGGGGACAGGGACAGAGCCUGGGAGGACUCCACCCCAGCAAGGGUGCUCCUGGCCUCCGUGUGACGGGGGAAGCCAGCGCCCCAGGCCCAGCCUCCUCCCACCAGGCCGCGAGCACGUGCAGCCCAGCCCGUGCCCACGCCGUGCCCAGCACUGCACAGACUGACCUCGCGCCCCCUGCAGUCUUGAGGGAGGUCCCGGGAGGAAGUGAGGCCAGGGAGUGUAAAGGUCAGGCUGGCACCUAUCUUGGGGACAGGAGACGGGCACUGCAGGGCGGUUCUCCUGGGGAGAGCUGUCCCCGAGCCACGCUGGGCCUGGCGGUGCCCAUCUUCACGCUCAGGACACGGAGGUCUUCCCGGGGCUCCCCGCGAUGCCUCCCAGAACGUGACCUUGGCGAGUUCCCGCCUCCCUGGGCAGAGGCCGCAGCAGGAGUCCAGAGCUGCAGCUCCACCAGGCACCCGUGGGCCAGCCCUGCUGGGCAGCACCGGGGCCCUGGCCGGCUGGUGUCCUGGGGUGAGACCCUGGGUUAAGCCCAGGGUGUGGCCACAAGUGGGUCUGGGGCUCCCUCUCCCGUGGUACAGGUGGCCACUCACGGGCCAGGUAGGUAGCCCCCCAACAUUUGCGAGGUGCCCCGUGCGCACUCCCAGGGCCCAGGGCUGGAAUUCCUGAGCCCGGUGGGGAGCUGCGGGGCCAGGCCCCAGGACACCGUGCCCGUCAGGUCACUGCUGAUGGUUCCCGGGGCUGGGCCUGCUAAGCCACUGGGGAACAGGGCCUGCCGUCCAGGGCCAGGGGUGAGUGUCUACUCCCCACUCCAUCACGCGUGGGGCCUGCCUCCUCCCAGCCUGUGGGCCGGGCUCCACCCAGCCUCAGGAUCCCGAGGGGCUUCCGCCUCAGUUUCCCCUUCUGAGCCGCAGGCCCUCACCCAGCGCCACCCAACACGGGCAGCCUCCCCGGGGAGUGCCCUGCCUCCACUGUGCCGGCUCCAUGGCCGUCCCCCUCCCACUGCGGCUGAAGCCUGGUCCCCGCACUGUCUCCCGUCGGGCCUCUGGCGGGCGCAGGUUUCAGCUCCUGUGAUAACUCGGAAAGUUGAACUGGCCCCAUUACUGCCGCGAUGGUUGGCCAGAUACGGCCUCGAUAAUGGAGGAGAUAGGCUCCCGUGGCCAGCGCCCCGCCUCCGUCCAUUAGCAUUCCCCACCAGCGAUGGCCUAUCUCCUGCAUUUCCACUCCUCCCGCAGAUAAGAAUGGAAAUUCUGACUUCAUAGCUCACUGAUUAAAGUGUCUGGAUUUCUUGAUAAUACACAGAUAAAUUAUGUUUUUGAAAAAGAAGGUGGGGAGAAGGGGGGAGGACGG
RNAcentral lists this long non-coding RNA (2928 nucleotides) under Marmota monax (woodchuck). Lineage: Eukaryota; Metazoa; Chordata; Mammalia; Rodentia; Sciuridae. The record is from RNAcentral.